Molecule: long non-coding RNA, 189 nt
Organism: Xenia sp. Carnegie-2017
Lineage: Eukaryota; Metazoa; Cnidaria; Anthozoa; Malacalcyonacea; Xeniidae
Exons: 3
Source: RefSeq, a predicted model, not a curated record
AUCAACUUUUUGAAUAAAAAUGAAAAAAUUGGUGUCAAUUUCGUUGAGUAUUUGGAUUCUCCAAAACAGGUUGUCAGAAAGUACAGGGUGUGUGAUGUGAUAAAACUAUUCAACCAGAAAUACAGUGAAGCUUGUGGGAAAACAUGCCGAGUACCUUAUUUAAAAGGAGGAUUUACUGUUACUGGUUUG